GACGAACGCUGGCGGCGUGCUUAACACAUGCAAGUCGAACGGAAAGGCCCUGCUUUUGUGGGGUGCUCGAGUGGCGAACGGGUGAGUAACACGUGAGUAACCUGCCCUUGACUUUGGGAUAACUUCAGGAAACUGGGGCUAAUACCGGAUAGGAGCUCCUGCUGCAUGGUGGGGGUUGGAAAGCUUCGGCGGUUGGGGAUGGACUCGCGGCUUAUCAGCCUGUUGGUGGGGUAGUGGCUUACCAAGGCUUUGACGGGUAGCCGGCCUGAGAGGGUGACCGGCCACAUUGGGACUGAGAUACGGCCCAGACUCCUACGGGAGGCAGCAGUGGGGAAUAUUGCACAAUGGGCGGAAGCCUGAUGCAGCAACGCCGCGUGCGGGAUGACGGCCUUCGGGUUGUAAACCGCUUUCGCCUGUGACGAAGCGUGAGUGACGGUAAUGGGUAAAGAAGCACCGGCUAACUACGUG
This 468-nucleotide ribosomal RNA is filed under the name uncultured bacterium. RNAcentral's name for it is "partial 16S ribosomal RNA". It matches the Rfam family "Bacterial small subunit ribosomal RNA", at positions 28 to 507 of the family's 1533-position model. The record is from RNAcentral.